RNAcentral lists this ribosomal RNA (253 nucleotides) under uncultured bacterium. RNAcentral's name for it is "partial 16S ribosomal RNA". It matches the Rfam family "Bacterial small subunit ribosomal RNA", at positions 524 to 776 of the family's 1533-position model. The record is from RNAcentral.
UACGGGGGGAGCAAGCGUUGUUCGGAUUUACUGGGCGUAAAGGGCGCGUAGGCGGCGCAACAAGUCACUUGUGAAAUCUCCGGGCUUAACCCGGAGCGGCCAAGUGAUACUGUCGUGCUAGAGUGCGGAAGGGGCUACUGGAAUUCUCGGUGUAGCGGUGAAAUGCGUAGAUAUCGAGAGGAACACCUGCGGCGAAGGCGGGUAGCUGGGCCGACACUGACGCUGAGGCGCGAAGGCCAGGGGAGCAAACAGG